AGAGUUUGAUCCUGGCUCAGAACGAACGCUGGCGGCGUGCCUAACACAUGCAAGUCGAACGGAUUUGAGGGGCUUGCUCCUCAAGUUAGUGGCGCACGGGUGAGUAACGCGUAGAUAAUCUGCCCGACGAUCCGGGAUAACACUUCGAAAGGGGUGCUAAUACCGGAUAAGCCCACGGGGUCCUUGGAUCUUGCGGGAAAAGGGGGGGACCUUCGGGCCUUCUGUCGUCGNAUGAGUCUGCGUACCAUUAGCUAGUUGGUAGGGUAAAGGCCUACCAAGGCUACGAUGGNUAGCUGNUCUGAGAGGAUGAUCAGCCACACUGGAACUGAGACACGGUCCAGACUCCUACGGGAGGCAGCAGUGGGGAAUUUUGCGCAAUGGGCCGAAAGCCUGACCGCAGCAACGCCGCGUGAGUGAUGAAGGCUUUCGGCUCGUAAAGCUCUGUCAGGGUGGAAAGAAGUGUAUUGCGGCUAAUAUCCACGAUACUUGGCCGGUACCCCCAAAGGAAGCCACCCGGCUAACUCCGUGCCAGCAGCCGCGGUAAUACGGAGGGUGCGAGCGUUGUUCGGAAUUAUUGGGCGUAAAGCGCGUGUAGGCGGUUUUAUAAGUCUGAUGUGAAAGCCCCGGGCUCAACCUGGGAAGUGCAUUGGAUACUGGAAGACUUGAGUACGGGAGAGGGCAGUGGAAUUCCUAGUGUAGGAGUGAAAUCCGUAGAUAUUAGGAGGAACACCGGUGGCGAAGGCGGCUGCCUGGACCGAUACUGACGCUGAGACGCGAAAGCGUGGGUAGCAAACAGGAUUAGAUACCCUGGUAGUCCACGCCGUAAACGAUGAGUACUAGGUGUUGCGGGUAUUGACCCCUGCAGUGCCGCAGCUAACGCAUUAAGUACUCCGCCUGGGAAGUACGGUCGCAAGACUAAAACUCAAAUGAAUUGACGG
This 938-nucleotide ribosomal RNA is filed under the name uncultured delta proteobacterium. Its description in RNAcentral is "bacterial SSU rRNA". It matches the Rfam family "Bacterial small subunit ribosomal RNA", at positions 8 to 916 of the family's 1533-position model. Lineage: Bacteria; Deltaproteobacteria. The record is from RNAcentral.